UACUGGAUGAAUUUGGUUCUAGUUUUUAUGUUAAUAAAUUUCUUUAAUAAAUGCAUGCGAGUUAUAAGCGAAACGGUAAGUAAGUAAAUAUACUAAUUUAAUUCUAAAAGAUUAAAAUAAAUUUAAAUAUUUAUGUAGUUACUUAAAAUUUACAAAGUAAAAUAGUUAUUAACUAGAGUUACACCUGCAGCAGAGAAUUUUUAACAAUUACUUUAUAGUAGAUUAAGAAAGGAAUAAUUUAGUCUGGCUAAGUUUCGUGCCAGCAGCCGCGGUUACACGAACUAGAUUAAGUUAAUAUAUUAAGCGGCUUAUUAAAGUAUAGUAUAAUAAUUUCUUAAAAAGGAUAUAAGGAAGGGUAAAAUCUUAAUUUAUCUGAAGAAAGAUAGAGAUUUUAAAUCUUUAAGGCUUGUGGAGAAGACCCGGAUUAGAUACCCGGUUAUUCACAGGUGUAACACAAAAAUGCCGGUGGAGUAACAGGAAUACUUUGAAAAACAAAGAACUUGGCGGUUGUUUAAGUCUGACCGGAGGUGCUUGCUUCAAAUAACCGAUGAUCCACGUGUUACCUUACCGCAGCUUGAAAUUUACAGCUACUAUAUCAUCGUUAUUAAUCCUCCUAUCUUGAGUUAAGUUGGGGAAAAAACUUUACUGUUAGAUAUCAGAUCGAGAUGGUGCCUAUGAUGCGGGUUGUGGUUAGUAGCAUUGAACUUUAAUCUCCUUAGUUUAGGAAAUACACUGAAAAAUGUAAUUUAAAUUGGAUUCGGUAUUAAGAUUAGAAAUAUAAAUAAUCUGAAGUAAGUUAUUAAGCUUCGUACACAUCGCCCGUCGCCUGCGGGGUAAAACCUGGAGUAAGUCGUAACAUAGUGGGUGAGCCGGAAGGAGUGACCUGGAUAGAAA
RNAcentral lists this non-coding RNA (894 nucleotides) under Amphipholis squamata. Lineage: Eukaryota; Metazoa; Echinodermata; Ophiuroidea; Amphilepidida; Amphiuridae. The record is from RNAcentral.